UACGAAGGGGGCUAGCGUUGCUCGGAAUCACUGGGCGUAAAGGGCGCGUAGGCGGCCCUUCAAGUCGGGGGUGAAAGCCUGUGGCUCAACCACAGAAUUGCCUUCGAUACUGUUUGGCUUGAGUUUGGUAGAGGUUGGUGGAACUGCGAGUGUAGAGGUGAAAUUCGUAGAUAUUCGCAAGAACACCAGUGGCGAAGGCGGCCAACUGGACCAACACUGACGCUGAGGCGCGAAAGCGUGGGGAGCAAACAGG
Molecule: ribosomal RNA, 253 nt
Filed under: uncultured bacterium
Lineage: Bacteria
Description: partial 16S ribosomal RNA
Rfam family: Bacterial small subunit ribosomal RNA
Source: RNAcentral